GUCGACGCUUCUUUUUCCACCGGAGCUUGCUCCACCGGAAAAAGAGGAGUGGCGAACGGGUGAGUAACACGUGGGUAACCUGCCCAUCAGAAGGGGAUAACACUUGGAAACAGGUGCUAAUACCGUAUAACAAUCGAAACCGCAUGGUUUUGAUUUGAAAGGCGCUUUCGGGUGUCGCUGAUGGAUGGACCCGCGGUGCAUUAGCUAGUUGGUGAGGUAACGGCUCACCAAGGCCACGAUGCAUAGCCGACCUGAGAGGGUGAUCGGCCACAUUGGGACUGAGACACGGCCCAAACUCCUACGGGAGGCAGCAGUAGGGAAUCUUCGGCAAUGGACGAAAGUCUGACCGAGCAACGCCGCGUGAGUGAAGAAGGUUUUCGGAUCGUAAAACUCUGUUGUUAGAGAAGAACAAGGAUGAGAGUAACUGUUCAUCCCUUGACGGUAUCUAACCAGAAAGCCACGGCUAACUACGUGCCAGCAGCCGCGGUAAUACGUAGGUCCCAAGCGUUGUCCGGAUUUAUUGGGCGUAAAGCGAGCGCAGGCGGUUUCUUAAGUCUGAUGUGAAAGCCCCCGGCUCAACCGGGGAGGGUCAUUGGAAACUGGGAGACUUGAGUGCAGAAGAGGAGAGUGGAAUUCCAUGUGUAGCGGUGAAAUGCGUAGAUAUAUGGAGGAACACCAGUGGCGAAGCGGCUCUCUGGUCUGUACUGACGCUGGGCUCGAAGCGUGGGGAGCAACAGGAU
Molecule: ribosomal RNA, 740 nt
Filed under: uncultured bacterium
Lineage: Bacteria
Description: bacterial SSU rRNA
Rfam family: Bacterial small subunit ribosomal RNA
Source: RNAcentral